GCCUAUACCCUCAACUUAAUCCUUAUCCUUAUCCUAUAUAAUAAUAGUACAUAAUCCUUAAAUAGACCUACACAUUAGAAGACCUAAAAAAAUGAGAUCAGAUCCUUAGACCCCCUUCAUCGGAGAAAAGUGAAGCAAACAACCUAAGGCUCCCUUCAGCUUCAUCUCCUUCUCCAAAUAGCCUAGAAACUCUCUCUUCUCAUUCAAGAACACAGAAAAUUCCAGCUCCAAAUCCAGCACAAAACCCCAGCAAAACACCUUAAUUUAAGAAAAAUAAAUACUACUAAAAUACCAGUGAAUUUCCAACAAAACACUAAGCCAAAACCAACUGAAAACCAGCUUUAAAAUGCCUCAAAAUCAACCCCAAAAAACGCAGCUGAAAUCCGCUGCAAUCAGCUUCUAGAUGCGGCCUUGACACAGCCCAAAACUCCAUAGCUAAUCAUCUGAUUCAACUCAAUUUCUUCCUCUGAAUUUCGGCCUAAAAUGGGUGUGAUUGAAUCGACGUUGCUGUUGUUGGAGGUCCAUUCACUGGUUGUUAUGUUUCGUGUUUCUUGUUCAACUUUCAUAGGCUUUUCUCGGAUUGACUUCUUUGACGCCCGUUGCUUGUAUUUUUCCUCAAACUAAAUUAAUCAAAAGCUCAAUUUUCAAGUUCAUUGAUGAAUCCUAUUACUCUAUUUUUGGGUGUUGAUUUAAAUUCGGAGCCAUGGAUAAAUAGGUUUGAAAAGUGUUUGAGAUAUAGCUUGUGCUUGUGAGGUUUUGAUGAUUUAGUUGAUAUAGUAUGAUUUGUGUUGAUGAUCUAUGUAUGAGCUCAAUUAUAUAUAGCCAGCCAAUAAUGGGUGCCAGUAAAUUAUAUCUUGAAUUUCUAAUAAGAUACUCACAAAGGUAAGUAGAGAUGGUGAAUGCUUGUAAUAAAUUGUUAUAUGCACAGUGAAUGUUAAUCUCUUGGUAAUCUAUUCAUAAUACUCCUUCGAUUUGUGGCAUUCAUUAGUCCUAAUAUGUUUGCGCAAUUAUUUUUUUUUACACAACUUUCAUCUAGUUUGAGGAAUCUAAAAAUACUAUACAGAUUUUAUCCUUUAAA
RNAcentral lists this long non-coding RNA (1078 nucleotides) under Nicotiana benthamiana. RNAcentral describes it as "long non-coding RNA (NBEN_LNC003359)". The record is from RNAcentral. Lineage: Eukaryota; Viridiplantae; Streptophyta; Magnoliopsida; Solanales; Solanaceae.